CCUACGGAGUGCAGCAGUGAGGAAUAUUGGUCAAUGGGCACGAGCCUGAACCAGCCAAGUCGCGUGAGGGAAGACGGCCCUACGGGUUGUAAACCUCUUUUGCCGGGGAGCAACGGGCGCCACGUGUGGCGCCCCUGAGAGUACCCGGAGAAAAAGCCUCGGCUAACUCCGUGCCAGCAGCCGCGGUAAUACGGAGGAUGCGAGCGUUAUCCGGAUUUAUUGGUUUUAAAGGGUGCGUAGGCGGGGCGUUAAGUCAGUGGUCAAAUUGAGGGGCUCAACCCCUUCCCGCCAUUGAAACUGGCGCUCUUGAGUGGAAGAGAAGUAGGCGGAAUGCGUGGUGUAGCGGUGAAAUGCAUAGAUAUCACGCAGAACCCCGAUUGCGAAGGCAGCAUGCCGGAUUCCGACUGACGCUGAAGCACGAAAGCGUGGGGAUCGAACAGGAUUAGAUACCCCAGUAGUC
RNAcentral lists this ribosomal RNA (460 nucleotides) under uncultured bacterium. RNAcentral describes it as "partial 16S ribosomal RNA". It matches the Rfam family "Bacterial small subunit ribosomal RNA", at positions 338 to 795 of the family's 1533-position model. The record is from RNAcentral.